This 435-nucleotide ribosomal RNA is filed under the name Leptodontidium sp. nc_besc_4g. RNAcentral's name for it is "eukaryotic LSU rRNA". The stretch from base 116 to 269 matches the Rfam family "5.8S ribosomal RNA". The record is from RNAcentral. Lineage: Eukaryota; Fungi; Ascomycota; Leotiomycetes; Helotiales; Leptodontidiaceae.
AAAAACGGAAAGGCUUUGGUGGGUUUCCUCGUGCCAGCGGCUUCGGCUGUUGAGUGCCCGCCAGAGGACCCCAACUCUUGUUUUUAGUGAUGUCUGAGUACUAUAUAAUAGUUAAAACUUUCAACAACGGAUCUCUUGGUUCUGGCAUCGAUGAAGAACGCAGCGAAAUGCGAUAAGUAAUGUGAAUUGCAGAAUUCAGUGAAUCAUCGAAUCUUUGAACGCACAUUGCGCCCUCUGGUAUUCCGGGGGGCAUGCCUGUUCGAGCGUCAUUAUAACCACUCAAGCUCUCGCUUGGUAUUGGGGUUCGCGGUUUCGCGGCCCCUAAAAUCAGUGGCGGUGCCUGUCGGCUCUACGCGUAGUAAUACUCCUCGCGAUUGAGUCCGGUAGGUCUACUUGCCAGCAACCCCUAAUUUUUUUAAGGUUGACCUCGGAUCA